UUGACGAGGUUCGGUGCUUAGCGGAAUCGACUUACUUCCUGGCAUCGGAUCGCAUCGGUCCUAACGGUGGUCUUACUUCAUCACGGGAUGCUAACCAAAGUUAUUUUGAGCAUAGACUCCGCCUCGUCGGGCAGGUGUUGUACCUAUGACGAAAAUGAAAAUGAAUACCAUGCAAAACAACAAAACGAAAAACAGGUAGCGUGAACUGUGACGCUAGAGACCUCAGGAAAGUAUUAAUGAAAAUGUAUCGACUAUAGACACGGUAGGAAAGACAUUUGAUCAUAUUUACAGGAUAAAAAGUUCGGCUUAAGGUAAAAUAUCCUCAACCGAGAGGCACAGGGGAUGUUGGUUACGAUAGACAAGCUCAUAGCUGUGAGACAGGCGAACGACGCGUAGCUACGGUAAGCCGGCAACAGUCGAUUACGCGACGGUCCGCCGGAUUCAAGAGCUGUAAACCGGACGGAGAAUUGCUGCCAUAGUGAUGAUGACAAGCCUUCGAACUCUAAGGUUCCUUCAACCUUCUGACUUGAGACUUAGCGCGAUCGCUAGGCAGUAUCUGAUCGUGGCGUUUGUUGUAGCAGUCAGCUCUAUGAACAGCUGAUAGACGAAAGUUGAAAAUCUGAAUAAUCAGAUACAGGGAGAAGUACCAAAACUCCUGCGACAGGGGGAGGUACAACACCAAAGGUGAGGACGGAGGACGCUUGAUGGAUGCUGCAGGGCACAACUUGAAUUGGAGGGUGGGUGCAAUUUUAAUUGAGUACAAUAAAGUAUAGUCGUUGUUCUGAGUAUGCAGUUGCAUGUCUACAGUCAAUGCGGACUCUUGCAUUCUUGGUUGCGCACCCACGUGCGAGAUGAGGUAACUAAUUCGAGUGAAGCCUUGGUGCAUGGCAAAAAGCAAGGAAGCUUCCGAUUCCGAUUUAUUCAGUUUAAGGGCUCACUGAAGUCUGCAGGGUCUUUUCACCAAUAGCUGCGUAUGCAGGUGGGCGUCUGUCUUGGAGCAACUGGGUCAUUGGUGGACGAGCGUAUAGACACAAUCCGAAUCAAAGCGGAUUCUUCAACAUCUCGCUCAUCUGCGUCCAUGCCCCGACGGCAGAGAAGGACGAGGCUUCCCAAGACGUCUAUGAUAUGAGCGCUAUCCCUGUCACAAUAUCAAAAUCGUGCUUGGCGAUACCAAUGUGGGCAAGAAGGGAUCUUUGGUGCCACUGUUUAGCCUCCACGACGAAUCGUCGAUGGCGGAUUGAGGCUGAUCGACUUCGCGGGUGCCCAAAAUAUGGUAGUAAAAAUAUCCAUCAAGUUACUUGGCUGUCUCCAGAUCGGGAAACGAGAAAUCAAAUCGAUCAUGCUGUGAUAGACAGAAGGCACACUGUCAGUGUUUUAGACCUACGUACACUCCGAGGGCUAACAUCGUGGCAAGAAGCUGCACAGCUAUACGUAUUAUCCGCAAUAAAGUUUCCUCUGCGUUAGAAAAAAUUAGGAGUUGAGUGGCUAAGUUUCACUAUUGCUGUGCUUCUAUUUGUUACCAGCUAGUGAGAAAGAGGAACGACUGAACUCGGCCAAAAUCGCUUACGCAGUUCAGCGCCAAGUAAGAAGAAGCCGUGAAGCCAAUUUUAUUACAUAAUUGACUAAAAUAGUAGUACAUCUUCCUAAACAGCGCUUCGGUCUUUUAGGUUUUUAGCAGACAACAUCAGAGUUAAAUAACUUAAAGAAGAACAUGACACUUCACCUGCAUAUUUGGUACUUUUAUUUGUAUAUAUAUACGAGUAUUUGUUUCAUGUUCGCGCAGAAGAAUUCUCAAAUUCAUAUUAUUCAUUGAUCUUUUCGUCAAAUCUCUGGAAUUUGUACAACAAAAGCAAAAAAUUUAAAUCAUGCAAUAGGCACUUUGUGAACCUCGAAUCGGCCUGAGCUGGAUACAAUUCUAAAUCGCAUUCCCACAUGCAACUGACGAUCAACAAUCAAAUCACGAAAAAAUCGAAAUUCAAACUAAAGCAAUUCAGCCAAAUCGGCUAAAUUGGACACGAAUAAGCAACGCAUUAAAAACCGCUUUAAUAAAUACAAGUAUUUUGCACAACUA
Molecule: long non-coding RNA, 2071 nt
Organism: Rhagoletis pomonella (apple maggot)
Lineage: Eukaryota; Metazoa; Arthropoda; Insecta; Diptera; Tephritidae
Exons: 2
Source: RefSeq, a predicted model, not a curated record